Molecule: long non-coding RNA, 281 nt
Organism: Hevea brasiliensis (rubber tree)
Lineage: Eukaryota; Viridiplantae; Streptophyta; Magnoliopsida; Malpighiales; Euphorbiaceae
Exons: 2
Source: RefSeq, a predicted model, not a curated record
AGGUGAGCCGGGACAGCCUUCUUCCUCCGCCCAGCCGCCACAGUAAUUUGUCGUCAAGUUUGCCACAGGAGGAUAUUUUGUUCUGGGUUAACCUGCUUUUCUACCUCGCAGGUUGUUUAUCAAUAUUUGUGUAAUUUUAAUUACUCCUAGAAUUUCCGCAUGUGUUAGCAGAAAUUAUUUGAUUAUGGUCUGUAAUAUUGUUAUCAUGUUGGACCUGUAAACUAAAUAUGCUAUGCAUGUUUGAUGGAUUGGAUGAGGGAGCUGAGCUCCCAUUUAUUUUA